UGCCCACACAGCAAACAAGAGGAGGCCAAUCUUCGCCUGUGUGCUGGAGAACAGGGCUUCUGUCUCGUCAACGAUGGGGGCACUGUGAAGCUGGACAGGAGACAUGCCUACUACCAUCAAGUACAGGCUCAGCUCCACGUCGUUGAUGUUGACUACUGCGACUUUGUUGUCUGGACUAAAAAUGACCUCUUUGUAGAGAGAAUUGUGCGUGAUGUGGACCUGUGGGACAACAUCAUUCCCAGAGUUGAGUUUCUUCAGACUAUGUGUUCUCCCUGAAGUGUUGGGACAGCAACUUACAAGGGGAAAGUUUCAGUUGCAAGAUGAUCAGGAGGAAGAGAAGGCGUGAUUACCAGCACCUGUGGUCUGUCCUGGUCCCGGAAGUUGUGGUUCUCUCCUUGUUGCAUUAUUAUUUGCACAGUGGCAGCUCUUUAACCUGCAUUACAGCACCUUCAUAUUCACUGACCACACUCACUAGAGGAAGUAGGGCUGUGUGAUAUAUUGCUAUUGUAAAAAAGAUGUUUACUGAAAAGAUUAAAUGAUACUAAGAAGACUGAA
Molecule: long non-coding RNA, 555 nt
Organism: Gymnodraco acuticeps
Lineage: Eukaryota; Metazoa; Chordata; Actinopteri; Perciformes; Bathydraconidae
Exons: 2
Source: RefSeq, a predicted model, not a curated record